AGGUGAUGUGAGUUGCUUAGCCACUAUUCCAGCUGACAAGGAAGGGGAAGCCCAUUUCUUAGCCAAGGAGGAUGGUGUUAUCGCUGGAAUUGGUGUUGCAGACAUCGUUUUCAUGGAAGUUGAUCCUCUAUUAAAGGUUGAAUGGUCUCGGAGUGAUGGAGAUGAUAUAAACAAAGGUGUCCAGUUUGGCAAAGUGUAUGGAUGCGCACACAGUAUUCUGGUGGCAGAAAGGGUUGUGCUAAAUUUUAUGCAGAGAAUGAGUGGGAUAGCGACACAUACAAAGGU
This is a non-coding RNA of Amborella trichopoda, 285 nucleotides long. The record is from RefSeq and is a predicted model, not a curated record. NCBI's taxonomy places the organism in Eukaryota, Viridiplantae, Streptophyta, Magnoliopsida, Amborellales, Amborellaceae.